RNAcentral lists this ribosomal RNA (463 nucleotides) under uncultured bacterium. RNAcentral's name for it is "partial 16S ribosomal RNA". It matches the Rfam family "Bacterial small subunit ribosomal RNA", at positions 339 to 795 of the family's 1533-position model. The record is from RNAcentral.
CUACGGGCCGCAGCAGUGGGGAAUAUUGCACAAUGGGCGCAAGCCUGAUGCAGCCAUGCCGCGUGUAUGAAGAAGGCCUUCGGGUUGUAAAGUACUUUCAGCGGGGAGGAAGGGAGUAAAGUUAAUACCUUUGCUCAUUGACGUUACCCGCAGAAGAAGCACCGGCUAACUCCGUGCCAGAGCCGCGGUAAUACGGAGGGUGCAAGCGUUAAUCGGAAUUACUGGGCGUAAAGCGCACGCAGGCGGUUUGUUAAGUCAGAUGUGAAAUCCCCGGGCUCAACCUGGGAACGGCAUCUGAUACUGGCAAGCUUGAGUCUCGUAGAGGGGGGUAGAAUUCCAGGUGUAGCGGUGAAAUGCGUAGAGAUCUGGAGGAAUACCGGUGGCGAAGGCGGCCCCCUGGACGAAGACUGACGCUCAGGUGCGAAAGCGUGGGGAGCAAACAGGAUUAGAUACCCCCGUAGUC